This 119-nucleotide ribosomal RNA is filed under the name Pteropus alecto (black flying fox). Lineage: Eukaryota; Metazoa; Chordata; Mammalia; Chiroptera; Pteropodidae. The record is from RNAcentral.
GUCUACAGCCAUGCUACCCUGAACAAGCCGGAUCCCGUCUGAUCUCGGAAGCUAAGCAGGAUCGGGCCUGGUCAAUACCUGGAUGGGAGACCACCUAGGAAGACCAGGUGCUAUAGGCG